AUUGAACGCUGGCGGCAGGCUUAACACAUGCAAGUCGAACGCCCCGCAAGGGGAGUGGCAGACGGGUGAGUAACGCGUGGGAAUCUACCCAGAACUUCGGAACAACUGAGGGAAACUUCAGCUAAUACCGGAUACGCCCUACGGGGGAAAGAUUUACCGGUUUUGGAUGAGCCCGCGUUGGAUUAGCUAGUUGGUGAGGUAAUGGCUCACCAAGGCGACGAUCCAUAGCUGGUCUGAGAGGAUGAUCAGCCACACUGGGACUGAGACACGGCCCAGACUCCUACGGGAGGCAGCAGUGGGGAAUAUUGGACAAUGGGCGAAAGCCUGAUCCAGCCAUGCCGCGUGAGUGAUGAAGGCCUUAGGGUUGUAAAGCUCUUUCAGUGGGGAAGAUAAUGACGGUACCCACAGAAGAAGCCCCGGCUAACUUCGUGCCAGCCGCCGCGGUAA
Molecule: ribosomal RNA, 447 nt
Filed under: uncultured bacterium
Lineage: Bacteria
Description: partial 16S ribosomal RNA
Rfam family: Bacterial small subunit ribosomal RNA
Source: RNAcentral